UGUUAGGACAGUCUCCACAAA
This 21-nucleotide non-coding RNA is filed under the name Caenorhabditis elegans. Lineage: Eukaryota; Metazoa; Nematoda; Chromadorea; Rhabditida; Rhabditidae. The record is from RNAcentral.